RNAcentral lists this ribosomal RNA (497 nucleotides) under uncultured bacterium. RNAcentral's name for it is "partial 16S ribosomal RNA". It matches the Rfam family "Bacterial small subunit ribosomal RNA", at positions 28 to 507 of the family's 1533-position model. The record is from RNAcentral.
GAUGAACGCUGGCGGCGUGCCUAAUACAUGCAAGUCGAGCGAACAGACGAGGAGCUUGCUCCUCUGACGUUAGCGGCGGACGGGUGAGUAACACGUGGAUAACCUACCUAUAAGACUGGGAUAACUUCGGGAAACCGGAGCUAAUACCGGAUAACAUGUUGAACCGCAUGGUUCAACAGUGAAAGACGGUCUUGCUGUCACUUAUAGAUGGAUCCGCGCCGCAUUAGCUAGUUGGUAAGGUAACGGCUUACCAAGGCAACGAUGCGUAGCCGACCUGAGAGGGGGAUCGGCCACACUGGAACUGAGACACGGUCCAGACGCCUACGGGAGGCAGCAGUAGGGAAUCGGCCGCAAUGGGCGAAAGCCUGACGGAGCAACGCCGCGUGAGUGAAGAAGGUCUUCGGAUCGUAAAACUCUGUUACUAGGGAAGAACAAAUGUGUAAGUAACUAUGCACGUCUUGACGGUACCGAAUCAGAAAGCCACGGCUAACUACGUG